This is a non-coding RNA of Arachis ipaensis, 308 nucleotides long. Lineage: Eukaryota; Viridiplantae; Streptophyta; Magnoliopsida; Fabales; Fabaceae. The record is from RefSeq and is a predicted model, not a curated record.
AUACUUUAGAAUUAUAUAUAUAUAUAACUUACAAACAUACAUAUCACAAAUUCCUAUCCCUCUUACAAAAUGUAUAAAGAUAAAGGCAAGGGAAAACAUAAUACCUAAAACAAUACAAAACAUCAUGUAACCGGAAAAGAAAAUAAACUCUUCGAGACUUUUUCGCCGAUAUCCUGAAAAAGAAACACCUGUAGGGGAAUGAGAACAUCGUCCUCAAAAGGGUUCUCACUAUAAGGUUACAGAAUUAUUAUAAUAAGAUACGUAAAUUAAAUCUGUUUUCAGAAAAGAGUGAUUAAUAACCGUCUUAU